RNAcentral lists this long non-coding RNA (320 nucleotides) under Rhinopithecus bieti (black snub-nosed monkey). RNAcentral describes it as "lncRNA (ENSRBIG00000045914.1)". The record is from RNAcentral. Lineage: Eukaryota; Metazoa; Chordata; Mammalia; Primates; Cercopithecidae.
AUGUUACGACUUUUCCUUAGGUCAAGUUUCUUGAAAAAAUAAUGUGAAAUUGAGGUUGGCUCACAAUAAAUUAUUGAGGAGUGAACUGAGACAAUGCCCAUAAGGAAAGGAGUCAAGCAGGACCUCACAGAGCAAGAGGCUGAAUCACGCAUUUUUGGAAGGUAUUAUUGGCAUAAUACUCGCUGAUGGCUUACAUAGCAUUCAGAUACCAGCUUCUCAAUCUCUGAAGUUGACAGCACGCUUGGAAGUGUGAUAAGGAAAGAGAAGUGUCUAAAACGUUGUCAACAGAGUGGGGUGUAAUAUAGGAGUGCAGAGGAGGG